Molecule: non-coding RNA, 327 nt
Organism: Erinaceus europaeus (western European hedgehog)
Lineage: Eukaryota; Metazoa; Chordata; Mammalia; Eulipotyphla; Erinaceidae
Source: Rfam
AGAUGUGAGGGUAAUCUGGCUGCGACAUCUGUCACCCCAUUGAUCGCCAGGGUUGAUUUGGCUGAUCUGGCUGACUAGGUGGGUGUCCCCUUCCUCCCUCACCACCUCCAUGUGUGUCCCUCCCAAAGCUGUACUCUCGGUCCCUUCCCCAGAAUAGAGACGGACCGGUCUUUCGUUGAGGGUGUACAAGUAGCUGCGCUCCCCUGCUAGAACCUCCAAACAAGCUCUCAAGAUUCAAUUCUGAGGAUAUUACUGGAAUAGUAGGAUGUCAGUGGUACUAAGACUGCUCCCCAAGCAAAGAGUUAAAACAUGGGAUCUUAAUGGCAU